AUGCAGAAGCUGGGAUUCAGCAAUCGCUGGAGGGAUUGGAUAUCGCUGCUUCUUGUAUCGGCUUCAUCCUAUUUUUUGCUAAAUGGUGACCCUGGGAGGCGACUGUUGCAUCGCCGGGGCCUACGUCAGGGAGACCCCCUGUCCCCGCCGCUCUUCAUCAUUGUGAUUGAUGUUUUGCAUCGCCUGAUUACAAGAGCAACUGAGCUCAAUUUGCUAACACCGCUCCCAGGCUGUGAGCUCAAGCUGCGCAUUAGCCUUUAUGCGGAUGACACUGUCAUUUUCGCAAACCCAAACAAAGAUGAGGUGGACAAAUUGCUGCACAUCAUUACCAUGUAUGGCGAUGCCUCAGGCCUGCAUCUGAACAUCAGCAAAAGCACUGUUACACCAAUCAGAUGUGAUGACUUAAACCUCCAAGAGAUCUUGCUGAAUUUUGGAGGCCAUACGACUCAAUUCCCCAUCAAAUACCUGGGUUUGCCAAUCAACUUGGGGAGGACAAGACUUGUUCAUUUUCAGUUCAUUCUGGACCGAAUUUGA
Molecule: ribosomal RNA, 534 nt
Filed under: Triticum aestivum (bread wheat)
Lineage: Eukaryota; Viridiplantae; Streptophyta; Magnoliopsida; Poales; Poaceae
Description: partial small subunit ribosomal RNA
Source: RNAcentral